RNAcentral lists this ribosomal RNA (492 nucleotides) under uncultured bacterium. RNAcentral's name for it is "partial 16S ribosomal RNA". It matches the Rfam family "Bacterial small subunit ribosomal RNA", at positions 29 to 507 of the family's 1533-position model. The record is from RNAcentral.
AGUGAACGCUGGCGGUAGGCCUAACACACGCAAGUCGAACGGCAGCACAGUAAGAGCUUGCUCUUACGGGUGGCGAGUGGCGGACGGGUAAGGAAUACAUCGGAAUCUACUUUUUCGUGGGGGAUAACGUAGGGAAACUUACGCUAAUACCGCAUACGACCUACGGGUGAAAGCAGGGGAUCUUCGGACCUUGCGCGAUUGAAUGAGCCGAUGUCGGAUUAGCUAGUUGGCGGGGUAAAGGCCCACCAAGGCGACGAUCCGUAGCUGGUCUGAGAGGAUGAUCAGCCACACUGGAACUGAGACACGGUCCAGACUCCUACGGGAGGCAGCAGUGGGGAAUAUUGGACAAUGGGCGCAAGCCUGAUCCAGCCAUACCGCGUGGGUGAAGAAGGCCUUCGGGUUGUAAAGCCCUUUUGUUGGGAAAGAAAAGCAGCAGGUUAAUACCCCGCUGUUCUGACGGUACCCAAAGAAUAAGCACCGGCUAACUUCGUG